GACGAACGCUGGCGGCGUGCCUAAUACAUGCAAGUAGAACGCACAGUUUAUACCGUAGCUUGCUACACCAUAGACUGUGAGUUGCGAACGGGUGAGUAACGCGUAGGUAACCUGCCUGGUAUCGGGGGAUAACUAUUGGAAACGAUAGCUAAUACCUCAUAAUAUUAAUUAUUGCAUGAUAAUUAAUUGAAAUGUGCAAUUGCACCACUACCAGAUGGACCUGCUUUGUAUUAGCUAGUAGGUGAGGUAACGGCGCACCUAGGCGACGAUACAUAGCCGACCUGAGAGGGUGAUCCGCCAAACCGGGAAUGAGACACGGCCCAGACUCCUACGGGAGGCAGCAGGAGGGAAUUCUCGGCAAUGGACGAAAGUCUGACCGAGGAACGCCGGGUGAGGGAAGAAGGGUUUCGGAUCGGAAAGCUCUGUUGUAAGAGAAGAACGGGUGUGAGAGUGGAAAGUUCACACUGUGACGGUAUCUUACCAGAAAGGGACGGCUAACUACGUG
This 505-nucleotide ribosomal RNA is filed under the name uncultured bacterium. RNAcentral's name for it is "partial 16S ribosomal RNA". It matches the Rfam family "Bacterial small subunit ribosomal RNA", at positions 28 to 507 of the family's 1533-position model. The record is from RNAcentral.